GAUCCUGGCUCAAGAUGAACGCUAGCUACAGGCUUAACACAUGCAAGUCGAGGGGCAGCAUGUUGGUUGCUUGCAACCAAUGAUGGCGACCGGCGCACGGGUGAGUAACGCGUAUCCAACCUACCCUUGUCCAUCGGAUAACCCGUCGAAAGGCGGCCUAACACGAUAUGCGGUUCACAGCAGGCAUCUAACGUGACGAAAUGUNAAGGAGAAGGAUGGGGAUGCGU
Molecule: ribosomal RNA, 227 nt
Filed under: uncultured bacterium
Lineage: Bacteria
Description: partial 16S ribosomal RNA
Rfam family: Bacterial small subunit ribosomal RNA
Source: RNAcentral